This 666-nucleotide ribosomal RNA is filed under the name Triticum aestivum (bread wheat). RNAcentral describes it as "partial small subunit ribosomal RNA". The record is from RNAcentral. Lineage: Eukaryota; Viridiplantae; Streptophyta; Magnoliopsida; Poales; Poaceae.
AUGACUCCAGAAGCAAGGCCACUAAAUACAUGGGUGGAAAAAGUAUCGGACUUGACUGAUUCUAAGAGUUGGACGUGGCGGCGGGAAUUGAUUCGAGAAACUUUUGUUCCCUCAGAUGCAACAACUAUACUUAAUAUUCCUAUUCGGCAGGGAGGGGGAUCUGAUUUUCCUGCAUGGGUGUUUGAUAGAUCAGGCAACUACACUGUUAAGACGGCGUACCGAGCUCUUGUGACUCAGAAAGAGCGACUAGCUCUAGAGGAAGGGACGGCUACCGGGACCUAAGAGGAUAACAAGCAGUUGUGGAAAGCCCUAUGGAAACUUAAUGUUAUUCCAAAAGUAAGAGUAUUCGGUGGAGAGUACUUCGUGGUAUUCUUCCGGAUGAAUACACGCUCAAAAACCGUCAUAUUGCAGACGCUAGUAGCUUCAAAGUUUGCUUGGCCGGGGAGGAGGACAUGCACCAUGCUCUUAUAUCCUGCUCGCAUGCAAGACCUUUUUGGGAGGAGGCAUGGGCAUGGUUUGAGCUCCGGCUGCCAAUUCUCUCGCGGGAGACAUGGGCACGGGAUAUCACACGUAGCCCACUUUUUUCGGAUGAUGAUCGUGCAAAGAUUACAACCAUUAUGUGGUCUAUUUGGCACUCUAGGAAUCCGAUCAAGCAUGGAGAGGUAG